Molecule: long non-coding RNA, 4951 nt
Filed under: Bemisia tabaci
Lineage: Eukaryota; Metazoa; Arthropoda; Insecta; Hemiptera; Aleyrodidae
Description: lncRNA ENSSSA1UGG011138
Source: RNAcentral
AUGAUGGGACAAAGACCUCCGUUCGGCAACCAAAUGGAGGCAGCCAGACAACAAAAUUUAGCCAAGAUUGAGCAGCUAAGACAAACACUAGAAGCUGCCCAGAGACAAGAGUUGCAAUAUGUAGAGAUUAUGAGUCACAUGCCUCCUGUAAAACAAAUUGAACAAAAUUUGGAGCACGCUCAGUUGCAAGAAAUGCAGUAUAAAAGUCAACUUGAGGAACAGCACAAGCAGCAAUUGCGGGUCCAACUUCAGCAGCAGAUGCAACAGCAGCAGGUCGGUAUGGGUCCGCGCCCGCCACAGCAGCAAGGAGGCGGCCCUCAGCCCGGACCUGGGCAGCAGCCUGGACCUGGUGGAGUACCACAGCAACCUGGACCAGUGAACCAACAACGAAUGAUGCGUCCUCUACUAUCGAACAACAGUCCUGGCUUACGACAUCUUUUGCAGCAACAGCAGCAACCUCAGUAUCGCCAGCAAGUUAUGGGGAUGCAACCACCCAUACAGCAAGGUAUGGCACAGCAGAGACCACAGCAAAUGCUACAGAACCCAGGCCCUGGAGGACAGCAGCAACCCGGCGGUCAGCAAUUUGAUGAAGUUCCUAAUUUUGAUUUCCUUUCCUAAUUUUAUCAAAACGCCCUGUAUCUAACUCCCACCCGUUUACAUGAGCAACAUAUGUUUCCCUUAAGGAUUUUUGGCCUCAGCCAGUCUGGGAAUGCUGGGAUAGUGAUGUUCCUCUCUGUUAACAUUAUUCUUUCAGUCAUUAUUUAAUCUUCAUGUAAAAGAUGAGUGGUACGGUCUUUUGAACUAAACAGAUGGAAUGAAAGUGGACUAGAAAAAUAGAGGAAUCAUGAUUUUAUGUUUAAAGGGACAAUUUUGAAGUUGAAUAACUUUGUCGAUUGUGGAGACUGUAAAAACAGAACAUAGAAUCCCCCAGGUAAACAAGAGAUCAUCAACUUCCUCUUCCCCUCCCUUUUUAAAACGAUGAUAGUAUGUACAUAAUGGUAAUGGGGAUAAAAUUGAGAUUUUAGUGUGUAUAUGCACUUGGUAAUGAAUGUUGACUCUUCAUUUUGAUCCAACUCUCACUUGUAGUUAAGAAACUUGAAGCCCUGCCAACAUUUGGAAAAAUUUUGUUGUUUUUUUGCAAGACUUAACCCUUUCCACUCAGGUGUCGAGCAGGACUCGACAAACGUCCUUUAGGGGUUCCGCUCAGGUGUCGAGCUGUGAUCGACAAAAUUUCCGUCUCCCUCAACGCUCGGAAACAAUGUAAAAAAUGGCCAUGGAAACCUGUCUGCGCUCGUGCUGCGCUCUCUGGCGACACUACGGAACUACUUGUUAACCUGACUUCAAAAUUUCACCGCUAGGUGUCACCGGGGAGCCAUCGAUCCCAAAAACCCUCAAUUUUGGCCAAAUUAAAUCAGAGUUGGGGGAGGUUCACCUGAAAAAAAAUUUGAGUGGAAAGGGUUAAGUUUACAACAAAGCUACAGUUUCUAUGGAUGCCUACACCGCAUUUGCAUUAGGACUUUUCUGUUACAAGAUAACUCUUUCUGUGCUCGAUGUGUUUUUAGUAAAUAGAAUAGUGGAAUAGAUUUUCCAUGAAACUUUUAAAAGGGAAAGAAGAAUUAUUUGGCUUUGAAUGAGAUAAAGAAACAAUUAUUUUGAUCCCGAAAUCCUGAAAGUCAGUAUAAUUCUUUUUUACCGACUUUUCUGAUCCAGGGUUUUUAUUUACAUCUGUAAGAGUUUUGAUACUAGAGUUGGGCCGAAAUGGAAUUUUCGCGUCACCGGAACCGGAUCCGGAUAUCGGUUUUUUGUAUCCGGCCGGAUCCGGAUACCGGAUAAUUCAAAAAAGUAUCCGGCCGGAUCCGGAUAGUACCGGAUCCGGAUAGUGCUCUUUCGCGCGAAAAAUGUCGCGAUUUUUGAGGUUAAGUUUACUCGACUCACGAUCGGUCGUAGCUAACAAAAUUCGGGCCUUGAAUUUCUUUCCUUAUUUCUAGUGUCACAAUUGCAAUAGUACUAAAAUCAUGAAUUAUGAACAUUCAUCUCCAAGAUUUAAAAUUUUCAUGCCUUUAAAAACUUCCUCCCCUAACAUGUCUCAGUCAGCGUGAGAGAUAAGUGAAUAAGAAAAUGAAAAACUACUCCUGUUAACUAAAUGUGUUUCAUUCAUCAUUCAGAAAAAUUGUUAUGCGCUUGGAUACUCCAGCUUUUCCAUUUGGCUACUUCUAAUCUCAAUUUUCAAUUUAAACAAAAAAAAAACAAAAAAAAAUGAAAUUGCUAUUUAGUAUCUUUGAAAAAUAUUUUUCAGUUUACUAUUUCUACAUUCGAUUCUUUAAUAAUAAACUGUCAUUUUAUGCAGUUUAGCGUUAUCAAAUUUCUACUUUUGAAAAAUCUGCUGCUUAGACUUCACCCAUUCUUACAAAUUCAUGUAAACUUAAAAUUUUAAAAAAAAUUAAAAUACAUGUGCCUACUUUUAAUUUUUUCAUUUUAAUUCAGAUAGAUUGCUUAAUUUGCCACUUUAAAAUAGUAAAAAUAAAAAAAGGGGAAAACUGUAAUAUGUAAUAAAAAUAAACAAUGCACUAAAACUUUAGAAAUGGUGGCAUGAAUUGCAAAAUAAACUGAAUAUAAUUAAAAUUGUUCAAGACUUAGCAGCAUGUAAUUCAUGUUGAAAGAAAAAAAAAUAAACAGAGCUGUAUUGAAGGAGAAGAAAAAAAGUCAAAAGUUUCAGGAAAAAAUACAGAAAAUUGUAUUGAUAGGGAAGAAAAAAAAAGAAUAUCACCAAAAAUUUAUCGAAAUUUUCGGGGCCCAAAAAAAGCACUAUUCGGCGGGUCCAAAAACCGGAUAGCGCGAUUAUCCGGCCGGAUCCGGAUACUCGCGAAAAUCGUAUCCGGCCGGAGCCGGAUAUCCGGUAUCCGGCCGGAUAAUCCGGCAAUCCGGAUAAUCGCCGGAUACCCGGCCCAACUCUAUUUGAUACAUUUUUCAAAGUUAUUUAUAAUUUAUGCAUUUUUUAAUUUUCUGUAGCCCACAGGGGCUGGAUAUGGAACAUCAAUUAUCAUGGAGAAUUAAGUCAAUAUUUUAGUUUAUGAAAGCAUGUACCUUGGAUAAAUUAAAAAUUCUACUUUUAAAAUUGACAGAUGUGAUAUAAAAAGCCCUUUUGUUAGACAAUGGUGGACUGUAAAAUGCUAUUAUUGUAGGCGACUCUUGUUUCAGAAGAACUCAAUAACUGUAAAAAUGGCUAGAAAUUACUCAGCUCCAUCCAGCUGCAAAUUGCCGAAAGAAAAUUGCACCUGAUAAUCAGUUUUUAAGUGUGUAUUUUCGUCAGAGAAAUGAUGCUUGUGUGCAAUUAUGAAAAUUUUACAGUAAAGUGGCAGAAUGUCUUCUCUGGCAUUCUCAAUGAUGAAAAAAGGUCAUUUUACACUUGGUUUAGGGUCUCAUGAGGGCUGAAAAGAUAUUCUUUUGUUAUGGUUCCUUAUUGACCAUUUUGAAUUGUUAUUCUGAAAACCGUAAUGUUUGGCAAAAAUUAAUAAAUACUGUACAGUGGAACCCUGCACUAUCUGAACCUGUAAACUUUUUAAGUGCUGAAAAAUUGUAUAUUCUUUUAGUUAUCAAAGACAAAUUUUCUGCGCAACAUGCAAGAUCAGACCACCCUAUCUACCACUUACGGAUGAGUAAGAAUUUUACUCCGAUAUUUUUCCCAAAAGAUUUGUUUAGAUAGUUAAAAAGAACAAAUGAGGAAAAAAAACACUUAGAAGUGGCCGGAAUACUGUAUGUAACAACUGGCUUAACAAUUGGCUUUGAUUUCCCUGCGAAAUGGUGUGGACCCAGCACCAUUUCUCCACCUUAUCAAAAAGAACUACAUAUAAAUGAAUUUCAUCUUGAACAUUUCCAGUAUAUUUGUAAGAAACAAAAUAUUCAAUUGAAAGUACGUAUAACUAGUUUAUGUAUUCUUUCACUCGUUUCUUUACUAUUUCCAUGCACUGGCAAUUCUAGAGCACACAUUGCUCAUCUUUAUAAUGUCGAAUGAUGAAGGUAUUUUAUUUUCAUUCGUUUUCAACUAUUGUGUCAGCUACCUUACAAUUUCUAUUCUUACAAGCAGCACGUCAUUUUUCUUCUAAUGAAAAGUCUUUCAUUCUAACUGAAGUUUAUAAAUAAAAAUUUGAAAUUUCAUUGAAUUUCAGCAAUUUAUCUCUAACUUAUUUUAUCAUUUUACUUUUUUAUUGAAUUGAACAUGUUCUAAAGUCUCUUCUAUUGUAUUAAUACUAUCUAUUUCCUCUCUGUAGAUCAAUUUUUGUUUUCUUUAUCUGUGAUAAAUAUAUUUUGUACUUAUUCAAAGUAGUUCAUUUCUGUAAUCAUUUAGCUUCCCAAGCUGACAGCAUACUCUUUCCUAUUUUCCCGAAAUUUGACUUUCGCGAUGAUAUUUUAGUGAUAGCAUUGCAUUGUGAAAUGACUGCUCAAUCAGGAAAAAUUCAGCUAACAAAAGAUAGUACUUUCAUAAAUAUUUAAAGCUUAUUUCCACCUGUGAAUUGUGUUUCUAGUUUCAGAGUAAUAUUUACCUUGUACCUCUUUAUCCUCCUUCUAUUAUAAAAGAAAAUUCAGGAGGCAUUGCUCAAAUAUUUGUGAAAUAUUUUUGAGAAAGGGAGGAGCAUCAGUCAAGGAUUAGCGUCACAUGCCUGAGGAAGCAAUUAAAAGAAUGACUACAUCAGUAAAUGAUGAAGCAUUAUUGUUCACAAUACUUCUCAAUAUCUUGCAUUUCUUUAUUUUACCCUUUUCCUUUGCACACAGGGUAUCAGUUAAAUGAAUUGAGGAGAAACCUCCCGGUGCAAGGUGCUCCCUCAUCAUGAAAACCCAUGAUUACGUGCACAAAUUAUGAUUAUUAAUUUUUUCAUUGUUCUCUAAUGCUACUUGACUGUCACAAUACCGCUAUAAAUGGCAGCACUGGCCGGUUUUGUGGAAGAAGACCUCC